Erythranthe guttata (spotted monkey flower) is the source of this 374-nucleotide non-coding RNA. The record is from RefSeq and is a predicted model, not a curated record. NCBI's taxonomy places the organism in Eukaryota, Viridiplantae, Streptophyta, Magnoliopsida, Lamiales, Phrymaceae.
UGUAACAUGUACGGCUCAAGUUCAAUAUUUAGUGGGGUCUCCAACCUUGUAACUCCCAACAAAUAAAAUCAUAUCACAUCCUUAUCCCUCCACUCCGUCCCGAGUGGCCACUCGGUCGGAAACAAGCAAGAGGCACGACCGGAACGUGCCGAUCCGGCUCAAGAACGUUCAACUCCAAACGAACGUGAGUCCGAACCAUCAGGAGGUACCAUUCGGGAGACCAGUCAUCGUCAGCCCAAUACUGCCCGAUCGUCUUGCCGAAAUGGUCCUAGGGCCCAGCUCCCCCAAGAGCGUCCUCAAGGGUGGGGACAGUAGGUUCAAGAAUCAAUAUCAUUCCUUUUAGGAAUAUCAAGUCAUUCAUUUCAAGAAUCAAG